Molecule: ribosomal RNA, 487 nt
Filed under: uncultured bacterium
Lineage: Bacteria
Description: partial 16S ribosomal RNA
Rfam family: Bacterial small subunit ribosomal RNA
Source: RNAcentral
UUGAACGCUGGCGGCAGGCCUAACACAUGCAAGUCGAACGGUAACAGGAAGAAGCUUGCUUCUUUGCUGACGAGUGGCGGACGGGUGAGUAAUGUCUGGGAAACUGCCUGAUGGAGGGGGAUAACUACUGGAAACGGUAGCUAAUACCGCAUAACGUCGCAAGACCAAAGAGGGGGACCUUCGGGCCUCUUGCCAUCGGAUGUGCCCAGAUGGGAUUAGCUAGUAGGUGGGGUAACGGCUCACCUAGGCGACGAUCCCUAGCUGGUCUGAGAGGAUGACCAGCCACACUGGAACUGAGACACGGUCCAGACUCCUACGGGAGGCAGCAGUGGGGAAUAUUGCACAAUGGGCGCAAGCCUGAUGCAGCCAUGCCGCGUGUAUGAAGAAGGCCUUCGGGUUGUAAAGUACUUUCAGCGGGGAGGAAGGGAGUAAAGUUAAUACCUUUGCUCAUUGACGUUACCCGCAGAAGAAGCACCGGCUAACUCCG